Molecule: long non-coding RNA, 1934 nt
Filed under: Strongylocentrotus purpuratus (purple sea urchin)
Lineage: Eukaryota; Metazoa; Echinodermata; Echinoidea; Camarodonta; Strongylocentrotidae
Description: uncharacterized LOC105446408
Source: RNAcentral
UUCAGAGAACAGACUGCAGUCGCCAAGUCAUAAUACUCUUUCGUUAACGUGUGGACGUACUAGUGUUAUAUGUGUUUUGCCUGGAACAUGGGAGGUAUAUUAGGGUACCUAGCGGAUAACUUUAUCGAUAAGCUAUUUCUUAUUUAAUGAAAGUUUGACUGAUCGCAUUAGCUUUGGAGGUUUAUCUUUAUGACUAUAUAGAAAUACAUCUCAAUCGACCAUGAAGCCAUGGAUAUUAGAAGUGUGUUUACUGAUCGCAUACAUGCAACUUAUUUCUGGUUCAGAACCACAUAAAAAUGUCCGACUCGUCGGAGGAUUCAACAAGUACGAAGGGAGGGUGGAAGUCUUCUGGAACGACACAUGGGGUACGAUAUGCGAUGAUCAGUGGGACAGACGAGAUGCCUGGGUGAUCUGUAAAGAGUUGGGUUUCGGUAGUCCUCUUCAGAUCGCUAGCACGGCCCACUUUGGAUCAGGACCUGGUCCUAUCCUGCUGGAUAACUUGGAAUGUAAAGGAACCGAGCCUAACAUACUGAACUGUUCACAUUCUGGGAUAGGUGUCCAUGAUUGCACUCACUUUGAGGAUGCUGGUGUGGCGUGUUCACCUCCAGUUCUAUGCCUCACUUAUCCAUGUAAUCAAGGGAUCUGUGUUGAUUCAGGAGAUACCUUUCAUUGUAUCUGUAUUCCAGGCUUCACAGGCAAGCUCUGCGAUCAAGAGGUGAACUGCACGUUACCAGACCAGGCUCCACUUGGUGCACACUUUGUGUCGCCGCACACUUCUUACUCGUUUAACGAGGUAGUUCGUGUUGCUUGUACGGACGGACCAUGGUCCACCUCGUGGACUUGCAAUCACAAUGGUCAAUGGAACUCACAUUAUAUACCAUGUGCUUCUCUCUCAGAUGCCUACCGUUCAGCUGCUACACACUCCUAUACCGUCAUCGGGAUUGGAUCAGCAUUGGUUGUUAUAGGGGUCGCCGUCUUUAUCUUUGCCAUCUUCAUUUUAAUUCGGCGUAAGCGACAGCGUGGGGUGGAAAGUCUGUAUGAAAUCUCCAACUUGGCUCGCUUGGAUUCUGUCCAAUCAGCCUACCUGACCAUGACAGGAGGUAAUUCCCCGAUGCCAUCUCCAAGACGGACCAGUUCUGUUCUUAGCACCGAUCCUCUCAUCAAAGCUUCCAGAGCCAACAUGGCGCUUCCGCCAACCCCAGCAGAUCUCGUCCGCUCUCCGCUAUCCACGCCUUCGCUUUCAGUUCCAAUCUCCGACGGGAAUCACGAGACAGAGACCCGGACCGAAAGACAGAUCGAUAAGGAGAUCGACAAGCGAAUUGCAACGCAGAGUGAAAAGCAGAUCGCAACUCCAAAUGAAAAGCCGAGUACGAAGCCGAGUGACAAACCGAGCACGAGGCCGAGUGAGAAGCCGAGUACGAAGACGACGGUAACGCGGUCGUCUUCAAACGUCGCCGCGCAAAAGCCACCUGUUGCCCCUGCCCGCCCGAAGAAGAACAACGAACAACGCAGCAAGCCACUUUUCAAGUUCCCGCCGCCACCGCCUAUACCCCUGACGCCUGCACCGAACAAAACUUCGCGCGCAGAUGGGACCAUACCGGCUGCAAACGGUGGUAUGAUGCAUAAUGAUAAAAGCAAGCUCUUGUCCAAGCAGAAGAGUCUUGAGGAUGAAACGUCGCUCAUGGUAUGUGCUGAUGAUCGCAAUUCUAUGAGGUCACAUUUUAAUGAUGAACAUGGCAAUGACUACGGCACGAAAGACAAUUUAAACAAACCCGUACAGUCUCCAUAUGCAAGUAUUUAGUGUGAACACUACUUUAAGAAAAUACAAGCAUAUUUACCAUGUAUAAAUAAGGUGCAAGUUUGAAAUGUACUCAUUGAUUGACUGAUUGUUGUAUCAUUGUAUCUCUCUUUAUACAGUACUCGUUAAUGACGAA